Molecule: long non-coding RNA, 811 nt
Filed under: Coffea arabica (coffee)
Lineage: Eukaryota; Viridiplantae; Streptophyta; Magnoliopsida; Gentianales; Rubiaceae
Description: long non-coding RNA (CARA_LNC001680)
Source: RNAcentral
UUUAGAUAAACGAUUUGUUUAUUUUCAUGGGGUUAAACAGAUUUGUCCUUUGUAAUAUUUCCAAGGAAAAUUCACAGACUCUCCCAAUGUGGCGUACCUAACGGCCAAGUUCAUGACUUUUGUAGUUUGUGAUUGACCAAUGUUGUUGUAUGGCUUCCUGCGUCUGUAUGUCCGCUUCAGCAUCAAAUAAUAAAUGUGGUAGAAACUAGGAAAGUUUUAUCUUAUACAUCGAACGAGAGAGCUUGACCAUUUCACCGUAUAGAGGAUAGAAGUCAAGUCACCACGCUGGCUCCUCUCCUUUUUCUUCCUCCACCGCACAAGAAGAUAUGGCAACAUGACAGGUUGGGCAAAAAUGGCUGAUAUUUAUAUACUGGUAUGUAUAAAGGCACGAGUAUAAAAGUCCCAUUGGAUAAUACUGUCCUGUCCUGUCCUAUAUACAGUAAAGAAAGGCUUUUUUUUUUUGUAGAUUUCAAACUAUUAAUUUGUUCUGGCACAAGCUAGAUUGAUAUUCAUAGGUAGCAUGUUAGGAAACAAAUAUAGGACAAGAGGGAAACCAUUUUUGGGCAAGGAAGUCAAUCCGUCUUUCAAAUGCUGGUACUCCAAGUGAAGUCAAUAGCGCGAUUCAUAGCCUGUUCUAAGCAUGAUACAUUAAUCCCCCAGUUUCAUACCAUGGAGGUAUCUUUCAUAUCCAUUCCCUUUUGUCACCACCCAGAAUAUUAUAUUUGUACUCAUGUGCAUUUUUAAACUGUUCUAGUCAACUUGUCUGACACGGCUUAAUAUGAUUCCAGAUGACUUGAUCUUCCUUUAUUUU